RNAcentral lists this ribosomal RNA (634 nucleotides) under Lamprima sp. NLG-2014. RNAcentral's name for it is "eukaryotic LSU rRNA". It matches the Rfam family "Eukaryotic large subunit ribosomal RNA", at positions 671 to 1264 of the family's 3401-position model. Lineage: Eukaryota; Metazoa; Arthropoda; Insecta; Coleoptera; Lucanidae. The record is from RNAcentral.
GAGUCUAGCAUGUGCGCGAGUCAUUGGGACUGCGCGAAGCCUAAAGGCGAAAUGAAAGUGAAGGUCAGCCUAGCGCUGACCGAGGGAGGAUGGGUCCGGAAAAAGACGGACCCCGCACUCCCGGGGCGUCCCGUUCUCACUGCGAGAAGGGGCGCACCCAGAGCGUACACGCUGGGACCCGAAAGAUGGUGAACUAUGCCUGGUCAGGACGAAGUCAGGGGAAACCCUGAUGGAGGUCCGUAGCGAUUCUGACGUGCAAAUCGAUCGUCGGAACUGGGUAUAGGGGCGAAAGACUAAUCGAACCAUCUAGUAGCUGGUUCCCUCCGAAGUUUCCCUCAGGAUAGCUGGCGCUCGCCGUUGGCGAGUCUCAUCCGGUAAAGCGAAUGAUUAGAGGCAUUGGGGUCGAAACGGCCUCAACCUAUUCUCAAACUUUAAAUGGGUGAGAUCUCCGGCUUGCUUGAACGUGAAGCCGCGAGAUUUCGGAUCAGAGUGCCAAGUGGGCCACUUUUGGUAAGCAGAACUGGCGCUGUGGGAUGAACCAAACGCAGAGUUAAAGCGCCAAAAUCGACGCUUAUGGGAUACCAUGAAAGGCGUUGGUAACUUAAGACAGCAGGACGGUGGCCAUGGAAGUCGG